AUACUUACCUGGCAGGGGCGAUUCCAUGAUCAGAAAGGUGGAUUUUCCAGGGUGAGGCUCACCCAUUGCACUCUGGACUUGCUGACCCCUGCAAUUUCCCCAAAUGUGUGAAACUCAACUGUGUAAUUUAUGGUAGUGGGGGACUGAGUGUGCACUCUCCCCUG
This is a small nuclear RNA of Suncus etruscus (white-toothed pygmy shrew), 164 nucleotides long. RefSeq annotates it as U1 spliceosomal RNA. The transcript has a single exon. Lineage: Eukaryota; Metazoa; Chordata; Mammalia; Eulipotyphla; Soricidae. The record is from RefSeq and is a predicted model, not a curated record.